GGCUUUUAUAAAUGCCCGCUUAUUUAGAAAUUUCUAACAUUGUCAUAUCUGGAUAGUGUUCAGCUUUCCACUGUGAUGGACUAAUAACCAACUGAAAAUUCAAAGUGGUAAUGAAAAUUGAAGCAUACCACUUUGAAAUAUAGUAGCAAGCUAUUUCAACAUGAAUUUUACUGUUUAAACCCACUAAACUCAAAGCAAAACAAGAUGGUCUUGUCAUCUUUUAUUUAUUUAUUAUCUUGGGAAAAUAUUUAAUAGUUCAUUUUUUUCUGAUCCUAGAACCCAAACUAAAGUUAUGGGGUCUUUAGGUCUUGUUUUGUUUUGAUUUUUCACAAUGAAAUGUAAGAUUUAUGACUUAAAAGUGUUCUAAAACUUAGGUAACAGAUCUGAUUUAUUUCUUAACAGGAAGUUAAAAAGCCUUUCAACGUUUUAUAGACUUUGUGAGAAUCCCAUUUGAACCUUGUCAUUGACCUUCUGCUGAGGGAAUGAACACAGGAAAACAGACAUUGGCCAACAGACAAAUGUAUUUAUUUUUCUGAAUGUACUAUGAAGAGAUUUUUGAGAGAGGAAGAAUGAAAAAGAGAGAAACAUCUUUGCCUAAACGAUUUGCAAGCAUCUGUGCUUUAAGCUACUUUUUAUGAACACUCCUUAGUAAAUGACUCAAGGUAAAAAAGCAGAAAAGCAUCCAAUGUUAGGAAAUUGCAACCCAAUACCGUGUAAUUUAAACCUGCAGUUGCUUCUCUUGUGCUAAAUGACAUACAGAUGGGUAGCUUAGUUCUCUCAAUUUUGGGAACACAAUUGGUCUUUUUGUAUGAAUGAACAUAU
Molecule: long non-coding RNA, 822 nt
Filed under: Mustela putorius furo (domestic ferret)
Lineage: Eukaryota; Metazoa; Chordata; Mammalia; Carnivora; Mustelidae
Description: lncRNA (ENSMPUG00000029765.1)
Source: RNAcentral